Long non-coding RNA from Calidris pugnax (ruff), 2373 nucleotides. RefSeq lists it as uncharacterized. The transcript is spliced from 3 exons. Lineage: Eukaryota; Metazoa; Chordata; Aves; Charadriiformes; Scolopacidae. The record is from RefSeq and is a predicted model, not a curated record.
CAGGGUGGUAUCUUCAGGACACUGGCAGCAUACACUGCAGACCCUCGACUGUGCAAGACUGAGCUGUGCUGGUCCUUCCUCCAACCCUGGAGCAGCUCCAAGAAUGACCCCCUGCCUCACCAAUGCCUGCUGGGACCAGUGGAGCUGGAGCUGUUUACCUGUGAGAAGGUGGAGACAGUGAGAGCACCUUCAGUCCUCCAAAGACGAAUGUGGCUUUAGCUAACAGAUGUACAUUGGUAAGAGCAUUAGGAAAUUUGGAAAACUACUUUGCAAGGAUUCUCCUGCUGCUGCUGUGCUAAUGAAACUGAAACACUCUUCCUUGAAGUGGUCUCGAAAGAAGCAAUCCGAGUCCAGGCGAAGUUUUCCUUAAAUACCAUCCUUGUUAUCUGGGAGGCUUUGAAUCAAGUAAGAUAGAUGAUUUUAAUUUCCAUGUUCUCAGUGUAACACUUGGGGUCAAUGUUUGCAUACUUAUCAUAGGCAGUUUACCAUUGACAACCACUGUAAUUGUUCAACUUUUCCUUGGUGAAGAUCUGAUUGACUAUUAUGCACUGUAUUUAUUAUGUCUCACACUAAAAUAUAGAUGAUUGAUUAUUCCAUUAUUCCAUUGACCAAGGCUGUAACAAGGUGUGACAAAUAUGUGCCAUUACAGUCCAUAACCAACUGAGGAUGGUAGUACAGUCAGGUAGGAGAAUUUUAAUGUGUGCGACUCUCUGGAAAGCUUUAGCAAACUUUCAGGACACUGCAUUUAAAAGACUUUAUCUGAAUGAAUGGUCUUCUUUUCUGCUAGGUACUUUCUAAGGAUGAAAAAGAAAAAAAGAUAACAGGCCUUGAUCUGAAAAGCUUAGAAUAUGAUUGAGAGCCAACUGGAGCCAAGGGAAAUUCUUCCAGUGACUUGCUGGGCUUUGGCAGGGUCCUGAGGGUAAUCUCUCUGUUUACUUCACUGAGAGUUGUGUCAGCCCCUGAAAAAAUCACCAUUUGUUAACUGCAUUAAAAUGUGCAGGAAAAAAAGUGCCUUCUGUCACUGAUGUAGCACAUUAAUGUGAAUUAUGUGCACAUAUCAAGGGGACUUAUAGUUGGAAAGAGAAAAAUCCUGUAUUUUAAAGCUCUUUAUCUGAAGCUUGGUAUUUGAAAUGCAUAAUUUAAUUAUCUUUGAACUCCUUUGUUCCUCCUUAAAAUAAAUCAUGUUUAAUUUUCCUUUUAAAUAUCACACAUUGAUGGACACAGCACUGGGGAUCAUGGUAACAAAAUGGUGUUGAACCAGUUAGUGGAAAUUAGUAGUAAUAAACAAUGCAUUUGCUACUAGUCUGUCAUAUUAAUUAGUCUUCAGAAUGUGGCAGUGCUUUUCAUUUGUAUUUAACGUUGCCUGAGCUUACUGCCAAUUAAAUACAAUGCUGUUAUCAAAUCAGCUCGCACGUGAUUACAUUGGAUUAAUGUGGUUAUUUUCUUUGAUCCACUAUAAUUAAAAAUCACGGUUGUGAUUUUAAACAAGUGUAAAAAUAUAAUCAGUUUGCAUACGCAGCUGCCUUUUUCUUCUAAUUUACUUUAUUAACAUUCGCCUCUAAUUAACAAUUGUGGAAGUCCUGGGCCCUGUUUAGCAGCUCAGAGGAGACAGCAGCAUUUUGCAAGUGCUGGAAGAAGCCCUUCGUGUGCCUGUGUGCCCUCCUCGCCCCUGCCCAGCCUCCAAAGGUGAAGUUUUCGAGUGAGAUCUCUGGCAGAUCAGUCCCCAAAUCCUCAAGGACAACUCAUCAGCUUCAAGCCGAAAGAAAAUACCACCUUAAAACUCAAUACUGUUUCCCUUGAAGCCUGAUGGCUCAGUCUAACUAGCCACCUGCACUGUGCUUAGUUCCCAGGGAGUCUUUAAUUGCUGCAAGCACUGCAUCAGGCUGUGCCGUGCAGCCUCCUUGUCCCCACAGGACCGUCACCCCAGCAGUUGUGCAGCCAAGAAGUCUAUGGAGAUAUGGGCUUAUGCAAAACGGGCAACUGCAGCAUGCUGAGAAGAUGCCAAUGCCCACACGCUGGCCCCGAAAUAUCCAGCCUAUCCAGGCCUGGUUUUUUCAGCCUUCGGCUUUUCACCAAGUGGGAGCUCUUCCUUUUGGGUUCUGCCACCCAGCAGGGGUGAGGAAGAGGCGAAAUGCCACCGCCCAAACCAGAAGGACAUUGUUUCCCAUCACUACCCACUUCUCUGCUGCUGACAGACAGGACCCAGACAGCAGAAAGUCUGGAGGAGGCUGCUCUUCUGCUGGAGCAGAUAGAAGUAAUUAGUCAAAUCACUGCGGCGCAGAGAGGGACUCUGGCCCAUCUCCCGUCAGGCAGCAAAUGACUCAUUGCGUAACAACUUCAGUAAAGGAGUAUUUUUUUCUUCUUCCUUUCCAA